UACGGAGGGUGCAAGCGUUAAUCGGAAUUACUGGGCGUAAAGCGCACGUAGGUGGUUUGUUAAGUCAGCUGUGAAAUCCCCGGGCUCAACCUGGGCACUGCAGUUGAAACUGGCAAGCUAGAGUAGGGUAGAGGGGUGUGGAAUUCCAGGUGUAGCGGUGAAAUGCGUAGAUAUCUGGAGGAACAUCAGUGGCGAAGGCGACACCCUGGACUCAUACUGACGCUGAGGAGCGAAAGCGUGGGGGAGCGAACAGG
RNAcentral lists this ribosomal RNA (254 nucleotides) under uncultured bacterium. RNAcentral describes it as "partial 16S ribosomal RNA". It matches the Rfam family "Bacterial small subunit ribosomal RNA", at positions 524 to 776 of the family's 1533-position model. The record is from RNAcentral.